GACGAACGCUGGCGGCGUGCUUAACACAUGCAAGUCGAACGGAAAGGCCCUGCUUUUGUGGGGUGCUCGAGUGGCGAACGGGUGAGUAACACGUGAGUGACCUGCCCUUGACUUUGGGAUAACUUCAGGAAACUGGGGCUAAUACCGGAUAGGAGCUCCUGCUGCAUGGUGGGGGUUGGAAAGUUUCGGCGGUUGGGGAUGGACUCGCGGCUUAUCAGCUUGUUGGUGGGGUAGUGGCUUACCAAGGCUUUGACGGCUAGCCGGCCUGAGAGGGUGACCGGCCACAUUGGGACUGAGAUACGGCCCAGACUCCUACGGGAGGCAGCAGUGGGGAAUAUUGCACAAUGGGCGGAAGCCUGAUGCAGCAACGCCGCGUGCGGGAUGACGGCCUUCGGGUUGUAAACCGCUUUCGCCUGUGACGAAGCGUGAGUGACGGUAAUGGGUAAAGAAGCACCGGCUAACUACGUG
Molecule: ribosomal RNA, 468 nt
Filed under: uncultured bacterium
Lineage: Bacteria
Description: partial 16S ribosomal RNA
Rfam family: Bacterial small subunit ribosomal RNA
Source: RNAcentral